CCUGGAACUGGAGUUAAGGACGGUUCGUAGCCUCCAUGUGGGUCCUGGGAAUCGAACCCAGACCCAGAGCUAGAAGAGGCCUGUGCCAGUGAACCUGGAACUGACAGGUGUGGAGACAGGCAGAGCAGACCUUCAUCACUCUGCUACAGGCUAUGAGGCUAGACCGAUGUGCAGAUAUGCAGUUUUCACAGGUCUAAAUCAGCACCGAAUGGAUGAGCAUAGUCAUGAGUGUGUUAAACACUGUGGUGACAGUGCAUGGAGCUCAGACUAAAGGCCGCAGCAAUAUGUGUUGACAUCGAUAAGCUUGCAAAGGGCUGCCCACUCACUUUCCCACAGCCUUCUAUGGUUUUCACUCUGAUGGACAAGCUGCAGUGAUAAAGCUCAUCCAGGCAGUAACAACCAAGUUCGCAAACCUCUUCUCUCUGAGCCUCUCAAACCUCCCAGCUCUCAUACAUCCCUGAAUGAAACUGUUUACCUUCCCCAAAGAGGACACCGCAAGCAACUUGAAGGAAUUCGGCAUUCUUAACGGAUCUUCUCAUCUCCAACUCCUAAAACCUUUCCAGCAUAGAGGAUGCCUUCAUUGAAUGCUGUUUUAAGGUUUAUUUUUAUUUAUGUGGAUAAGUGUGUAUGUGUAUGUUCAUGCAUUCAUGAAGGUGCCCUCAGAGGCCAGAAGAGAGUAUUACACCCCCUGGAGCUAGAGUUAUGAGCCACCUGAGUGCUAGGAAUUGAACUUGGGUUCUCCAGAAGAGUACCAAAUGCUCUUAACCAGUGAUCCAUCUUUCCAACCAACCCAUCAGUGAAUGUUCCCUGCUGUUACUUAAAGACAUAAGUAAUGUCAUCUGUUGUUGACAAAUUUGAGGAUUAAGGAGAAAAAAGCUAUUUUCACUCAUGUAGAUUCUAGUUUUCUGUAUGUUUCCCCAUAUAAUCAUCAGUUAUUACUUGUUUGAACAACUGUGUGGUUCAUUUAAAGUAAUAUGAUUCCAUCUGAACUUAUGUGCAAGCACUAGUCUUCUAGAGCAUAUUAAUUAACUCCAAUUUUACCUUUUGCACAAAUGAUAGCACUGUAGAAGAUAGGAAAAUCCACUCCAAGAGUGAGCAUCUCUGCCAAUGUCUCAGAGGAAAUUGGAGUUUGCUGAAGACUAGGCAGACUUCUACCCUUUCUUAUCAAAUGUUUACUCAGUCUGGAAUCUCUCCAGCCUUUUUAUGCUGUAAUUUUAAAUGAGUGUCUUUUUAUAGCUUCAUGCCUAUAU
Long non-coding RNA from Nannospalax galili (Upper Galilee mountains blind mole rat), 1250 nucleotides. RefSeq lists it as uncharacterized. The transcript has 4 exons. NCBI's taxonomy places the organism in Eukaryota, Metazoa, Chordata, Mammalia, Rodentia, Spalacidae. The record is from RefSeq and is a predicted model, not a curated record.